AGAGGGCGCCCGCGCUCGCGCACCUCGGGAGAGGCGGCGGUCCCGCCCGCGGCGAGACGGGAAGGCGACUGGCGAGUGGGAAGGGGAGUCUGGUUGGUGGAAGCGACGUGGCUUCCAUGGUUCACCUUGGGGGAGGUCAGCUUUGCACCGAAAGAUGACGGUGGAGUAAGAUGAACGAGGGUGCUUUAGAAGCAGUGAAAACCGCAGAGGAGUUUCAACAACAGUGAGGUCGACCUGAGGACCAGCUUCUGUCCUUUGUACCGCUUUCCACAUGAACGAACUGAGGUUCAGAGACCUUGAGUAAGUUGCCUAAGGAGACACAGCAGGGAGGGUGGU
This 336-nucleotide long non-coding RNA is filed under the name Dasypus novemcinctus (nine-banded armadillo). RNAcentral's name for it is "lncRNA (ENSDNOG00000051681.1)". Lineage: Eukaryota; Metazoa; Chordata; Mammalia; Cingulata; Dasypodidae. The record is from RNAcentral.